Molecule: microRNA precursor, 87 nt
Filed under: Podarcis lilfordi (Lilford's wall lizard)
Lineage: Eukaryota; Metazoa; Chordata; Lepidosauria; Squamata; Lacertidae
Source: RNAcentral
UUCCCUCUCUGCGCAGUGCCCCUUCAGCAAAGCAGGAGGAGAAACGGAGCCCCUCUCUUUGCUGGAGAGGCACUGCGCAGAGAGGGA